CCGCACGGGUGAGUAACACGUAUGCAAUCCACCUGUAACAGGGGGAUAACCCGGGGAAAUCCGGACUAAUACCCCAUAAUAUGGGCGCUCCGCAUGGAGAGUCCAUUAAAGAGAGCAAUCUUGGUUACAGACGAGCAUGCGCUCCAUUAGCCAGUUGGCGGGGUAACGGCCCACCAAGGCGACGAUGGAUAGGGGUUCUGAGAGGAAGGUCCCCCACAUUGGAACUGAGACACGGUCCAA
RNAcentral lists this ribosomal RNA (240 nucleotides) under uncultured bacterium. RNAcentral's name for it is "partial 16S ribosomal RNA". It matches the Rfam family "Bacterial small subunit ribosomal RNA", at positions 98 to 334 of the family's 1533-position model. The record is from RNAcentral.